ACCGGCGCACGGGUGCGUAACGCGUAUGCAACCUACCUCUUACUGGGGAAUAGCCCGAAGAAAUUCGGAUUAAUACUCCAUAACAUUGCGAGAUGGCAUCAUUUUGCAAUUAAAGCUCCGGCGGUUUUGGAUGAGUAUGCGUUCGAUUAGCUAGUUGGUGAGGUAACGGCUCACCAAGGCGACGACGGGUAGCCGGCCUGAGAGGGCGACCGGCCACACUGGGACUGAGACACGGCCCAGACUCC
This 245-nucleotide ribosomal RNA is filed under the name uncultured bacterium. Its description in RNAcentral is "partial 16S ribosomal RNA". It matches the Rfam family "Bacterial small subunit ribosomal RNA", at positions 94 to 339 of the family's 1533-position model. The record is from RNAcentral.